This 1185-nucleotide long non-coding RNA is filed under the name Marmota monax (woodchuck). Lineage: Eukaryota; Metazoa; Chordata; Mammalia; Rodentia; Sciuridae. The record is from RNAcentral.
AAAGAUUGGACUAUGCUCCUGCCUUAUGCACUGUUUCACGCAAGAAAUUCUCCCUUUGUUUCUUUGUGUAACAUAUCCCCCUAUGAAAUUCUCUAUGGUGCCCCUCCUCCAGUAAGGGACCUAACCCCAACUCUAAGACCUAACGAUCCCUUCCACACCCCCUUGCUUGACAGACUAAAAGCUCUCGAAAGAACUCAGUGAUACCUGUUGAAACAGCUGGCCACAGCCUACCAACCUGGGGACGUGGGGACUCCACAUCAAUAUCAAGUAAGAGACUUCGUCUACAUAAGACGUCAUCAGGUGUCAUCCCUGCAACCCCACUGGAAAGGACCAUACAAGGUGCUACUUAUAACACCUACAGUGGUAAAGGUAGACGGAAUCACUUCCUGGAUCCAUGCCUCUCAUCUCAAGCCUGUGCCCUGUCCAGACUCUGGCUGGAAACUGGAAAAGACUGGUAACCCUUUCAAAUUGCGUAUUCACCAUGUGGAUAGGGCUAUAAACGGUCCCCUUGGCCACCAGUAGUCCUAACCCUCAUCAGCCCAUUCAGCAGCAAUGGCUGAUCACAAAUCCUACUGUACAAGAAGUAUGGUCUAUCUUGCAUACAGCCCCCUUAGGGGUCUGCUGGCCAUCUCUCCACCCAGAUAUUUGUCAGAUGGCUACAGGUCUUUCCUAUUGGGAUAUCCUAAAUGAAGAGGAUCCCACUAAAAUUCCAUUAAAUACCUUCUGUACCAUAGAUAAUGGAAACAAACAUUAUGGAUGUAGGGACACGCUACCAGAUGCAGGUUGGCUAUCCUAGAUUACUAUGUCUGCCCGGCAGACUAUCAAAGCCACAAACAGCCAUGGCUGUGUGGGGGAAAAGCCGACUUCUUCUGUAAGUCAUGGGGAUGUGAGCAUACUGGGGGUACCUGGUGGAACCCAAACUGCUCAUCAAAUUCAGUACACAGCAUUGGCCAUAUUACCAAUUAGAGAACGAAAACCCAUGGACCCCAGAUGGGUCUCUGGAUCUUCAAAUUCUGUGUGACCUUUUUAACUUCUGCAAGUGCUCAAAAGGGUGAAUGGAAAUACCCCUAUGUGGAGGCCUUUUCCCUCCUUCGCACACAUCCUGAACUAUGCUUCUCCAAUAGAUCCUCACCCUCAGCCUUCUGCUCCAGACUCUCUGCUGUCACUCCCACCUCAGCAACUUGA